This is a long non-coding RNA of Peromyscus eremicus (cactus mouse), 408 nucleotides long. RefSeq lists it as uncharacterized. The transcript has 2 exons. Lineage: Eukaryota; Metazoa; Chordata; Mammalia; Rodentia; Cricetidae. The record is from RefSeq and is a predicted model, not a curated record.
UCAACACCUCAACCAGGAGUGCACAUCACAGUAGCCCAGUGGGGUGAUAGACAGCAGCCAUGAGGGGCCGCAAAGAUGAGGCCUCAACUCUCUUUUUCAGACUCUGAGAAGCCAACAAUACUGCCCGGAAGGGGUGGUCUUUCCUCACACCAUGGGGAACGUAUUCAAUGACCCAAGAGGAACCAGGGAGGCUGCUCGUCCCAGAAGGACCUGGAAGGGCCGGUUCCAGAGAGCCCUGGCUCGUGUGUCCAAGUUCUUCAGGCGAGGACGCCGCUCAUUCCGAGGCUGAGUCCACGUGAGUCUGAGACACGGGGCCACGACAGAGAGCAAGACCUUCUGCUGUCCAGGCCCCUCCUCUCCCAAGAAUCUUGUUAAUGAGGUUGAAAUAAAGGCCGGUGUGCUUUACAA